UUGCACGCUGGCGGCAGGCCUAACACCUGCCAGUCGAACGGUAACAGGAAGCAGCUUGCUGCUUCGCUGACGCGUGGCGGACGGGUGAGUAAUGUCUGGGAAGCUGCCUGAUGGAGGGGGAUAACUACUGGAAACGGUAGCUAAUACCGCAUAAUGUCGCAAGACCAAAGAGGGGGACCUUCGGGCCUCUUGCCAUCGGAUGUGCCCAGAUGGGAUUAGCUUGUUGGUGGGGUAACGGCUCACCAAGGCGACGAUCCCUAGCUGGUCUGAGAGGAUGACCACCCCCACGGGAAAGGGGAACGGGCCCAGCCCCUGCGGGGGGGCAGGGGGGGGAAAUUUGGACAAAGGGGGGAAAGCCGAAGGCAGCCAGGCCGGGGGGAUGAAGAAGGCCUUCGGGUUGUAAAGUACUUUAGGGGGGGAGGAAGGGAGUAAAGUUAAUCCCUGUGCUCAUGGAGGUUCCCCGCAGAAGAAGCCCCGGCUAACCCCGU
This 488-nucleotide ribosomal RNA is filed under the name uncultured bacterium. Its description in RNAcentral is "partial 16S ribosomal RNA". It matches the Rfam family "Bacterial small subunit ribosomal RNA", at positions 29 to 506 of the family's 1533-position model. The record is from RNAcentral.